UGGGGAAUAUUGGACAAUGGGGGAAACCCUGAUCCAGCAAUGCCGCGUGAGUGAAGAAGGCCUUAGGGUUGUAAAGCUCUUUCGCCCGCGAAGAUAAUGACGGUAGCGGGAGAAGAAGCCCCGGCUAACUCCGUGCCAGCAGCCGCGGUAAUACGGAGGGGGCUAGCGUUGUUCGGAAUUACUGGGCGUAAAGCGUACGUAGGCGGAUGCGCAAGUUGGGGGUGAAAUCCCGGGGCUUAACCUCGGAAUUGCCCUCAAAACUGCACGGCUUGAGACCGAGAGAGGUAAGGGGAAUUCCUAGUGUAGAGGUGAAAUUCGUAGAUAUUAGGAAGAACACCAGUGGCGAAGGCGCCUUACUGGCUCGGUACUGACGCUGAGGUACGAAAGCGUG
RNAcentral lists this ribosomal RNA (391 nucleotides) under uncultured bacterium. Its description in RNAcentral is "bacterial SSU rRNA". It matches the Rfam family "Bacterial small subunit ribosomal RNA", at positions 355 to 763 of the family's 1533-position model. The record is from RNAcentral.